GUGGGGAAUAUUGCGCAAUGGAGGAAACUCUGACGCAGCAACGCCGCGUGAAGGAAGAAGGCCUUCGGGUUGUAAACUUCUUUGAUCGGGGACGAAAGAUGACGGUACCCGAGGAACAAGCCACGGCUAACUACGUGCCAGCAGCCGCGGUAAUACGUAGGUGGCGAGCGUUGUCCGGAAUUACUGGGUGUAAAGGGCGUGUAGGCGGGGGAGCAAGUCAGAUGUGAAAUUCCGAGGCUUAACUUCGGCGCUGCAUCUGAAACUGUUUCUCUUGAGUGCUGGAGAGGAAAGUGGAAUUCCCAGUGUAGCGGUGAAAUGCGUAGAGAUUGGGAGGAACACCAGUGGCGAAGGCGGCUUUCUGGACAGUAACUGACGCUGAGGCGCGAAAGCGUGGGGAGCAAACAGGAUUAGAAACCCCAGUAGUCC
Molecule: ribosomal RNA, 426 nt
Filed under: uncultured bacterium
Lineage: Bacteria
Description: bacterial SSU rRNA
Rfam family: Bacterial small subunit ribosomal RNA
Source: RNAcentral